CAGUAGCCGCGGUAAUACGUAGGUGGCAAGCGUUGUCCGGAAUUAUUGGGCGUAAAGGGCUCGCAGGCGGUUUCUUAAGUCUGAUGUGAAAGCCCCCGGCUCAACCGGGGAGGGUCAUUGGAAACUGGGAAACUUGAGUGCAGAAGAGGAGAGUGGAAUUCCACGUGUAGCGGUGAAAUGCGUAGAGAUGUGGAGGAACACCAGUGGCGAAGGCGACUCUCUGGUCUGUAACUGACGCUGAGGAGCGAAAGCGUGGGGAUCGAACAGGAUUAGAUACCCCCGUAGUCCCUGUCUCUUAUAC
This 301-nucleotide ribosomal RNA is filed under the name uncultured bacterium. RNAcentral describes it as "partial 16S ribosomal RNA". It matches the Rfam family "Bacterial small subunit ribosomal RNA", at positions 509 to 807 of the family's 1533-position model. The record is from RNAcentral.